This is a microRNA precursor of Neogale vison (American mink), 57 nucleotides long. NCBI's taxonomy places the organism in Eukaryota, Metazoa, Chordata, Mammalia, Carnivora, Mustelidae. The record is from Ensembl.
AACCCGUAGAUCCGAACUUGUGGUGAUAGUCCGCACAAGCUUGUGUCUAUAGGUAUG